RNAcentral lists this ribosomal RNA (303 nucleotides) under uncultured bacterium. RNAcentral's name for it is "partial 16S ribosomal RNA". It matches the Rfam family "Bacterial small subunit ribosomal RNA", at positions 507 to 807 of the family's 1533-position model. The record is from RNAcentral.
AGCAGUAGCCGCGGGAAUACAGAGGGUGCAAGCGUUAAUCGGAGUUACUGGGCGUAAAGCGCGCGUAGGUGGUUUGUUAAGUUGGAUGUGAAAUCCCCGGGCUCAACCUGGGAACUGCAUCCAAAACUGGCAGGCUAGAGUAGGGCAGAGGGUGGUGGAAUUUCCUGUGUAGCGGUGAAAUGCGUAGAUAUAGGAAGGAACACCAGUGGCGAAGGCGACCACCUGGGCCCAUACUGACACUGAGGUGCGAAAGCGUGGGGAGUAAACAGGAUUAGAUACCCGCGUAGUCCCUGUCUCUUAUAC